UGUGUCUGUCUGUGGGAGUGUGUUUGUGUGUGCGCGUGUGCGCGUGAAGGGUAGAAAGCCAGUCAGUCAGUGAGAAGCAAAGUCAGAAAAAAGAAGGCUCUACUGCUGGCACUCUUUUGGAAGACUCUAGAGGUUCCUGUGGUCCUCUCAUUAGCCAUACUGCAGCCAGGGAAAUGACAGCCACAGAAGUACUGAAGAUUGGUUCAUUUUCCUGA
This 215-nucleotide long non-coding RNA is filed under the name Phascolarctos cinereus (koala). RNAcentral describes it as "lncRNA (ENSPCIG00000011014.2)". The record is from RNAcentral. Lineage: Eukaryota; Metazoa; Chordata; Mammalia; Diprotodontia; Phascolarctidae.